RNAcentral lists this ribosomal RNA (253 nucleotides) under uncultured bacterium. RNAcentral describes it as "partial 16S ribosomal RNA". It matches the Rfam family "Bacterial small subunit ribosomal RNA", at positions 524 to 776 of the family's 1533-position model. The record is from RNAcentral.
GACAGAGGUGCCAAGCGUUAGGCGGAAUCACUGGGCUUAAAGCGUGUGUAGGCGGAUUGGUAAGUACCUUGUGAAAUCCCACAGCUCAACUGUGGAACUGCUCGGUAUACUGCUUAUCUUGAGCCACUUAGGGGCUGUCGGAACAAACGGUGGAGCGGUGAAAUGCGUAGAUAUCUGGAGGAAUACCGGUGGCGAAGGCGGCAUCCUGGACCGACAUUGACGCUGAGGAGCGAAAGCUAGGGGAGCAAACGGG